UACGGCCAUAUCAUUUGAGAUACUGAUUCUCGUACGCUCAUCGAAAUUAAGCAACAUCGAGCCUGGUCAGUACCUAGAUGGGUGACCGCUUGAGAAUUUCAGGUGCU
This is a non-coding RNA of Acanthosepion pharaonis, 107 nucleotides long. The record is from the annotation of a GenBank genome assembly. Lineage: Eukaryota; Metazoa; Mollusca; Cephalopoda; Sepiida; Sepiidae.